Daphnia pulex (common water flea) is the source of this 74-nucleotide non-coding RNA. The record is from the annotation of a RefSeq genome assembly. NCBI's taxonomy places the organism in Eukaryota, Metazoa, Arthropoda, Branchiopoda, Diplostraca, Daphniidae.
GUCAAGAUGGCCGAGUGGUUAAGGCGCCAGACUUAAGUUCGAGAAAGGCGUGGGUUCGAACCCCACUCUUGACA